Molecule: ribosomal RNA, 468 nt
Filed under: uncultured bacterium
Lineage: Bacteria
Description: partial 16S ribosomal RNA
Rfam family: Bacterial small subunit ribosomal RNA
Source: RNAcentral
GACGAACGCUGGCGGCGUGCUUAACACAUGCAAGUCGAACGGAAAGGCCCUGCUUUUGUGGGGGGCUCGAGUGGCGAACGGGUGAGGAACACGUGAGUAACCUGCCCUGGACUUUGGGAUAACUUCAGGAAACUGGGGCUAAUACGGGAUAGGAGCUCCUGCUGCAGGGUGGGGGUUGGAAAGUUUCGGCGGUUGGGGAUGGACUCGCGGCUUAUCAGCUUGUUGGUGGGGUAGUGGCUUACCAAGGCUUUGACGGGUAGCCGGCCUGAGAGGGUGACCGGCCACAUUGGGACUGAGAUACGGCCCAGUCUCAUAAGGGAGGCAGCAGUGGGGAAUAUUGCACAAUGGGCGGAAGCCUGAUGCAGCAACGCCGCGUGCGGGAUGACGGCCUUCGGGUUGUAAACCGCUUUCGCCUGUGACGAAGCGUGAGUGACGGUAAUGGGUAAAGAAGCACCGGCUAACUACGUG